RNAcentral lists this ribosomal RNA (126 nucleotides) under Erinaceus europaeus (western European hedgehog). Lineage: Eukaryota; Metazoa; Chordata; Mammalia; Eulipotyphla; Erinaceidae. The record is from RNAcentral.
GUCUAUGGCCACACCACAUUGAACCUGCCUGAUUUCCUCUGAUCUCAGAAGCUAAGCAGAGUUGAGCCUGGUUAGUACUUUAAUGGGAGAAAGAAGUAGAAAGAGAAACAUCUGCAGCCCUGUUUC